This 500-nucleotide ribosomal RNA is filed under the name uncultured bacterium. RNAcentral describes it as "partial 16S ribosomal RNA". It matches the Rfam family "Bacterial small subunit ribosomal RNA", at positions 30 to 523 of the family's 1533-position model. The record is from RNAcentral.
AUUGAACGCUGGCGGAAUGCUUUACACAUGCAAGUCGAACGGCAGCACGGACUUCGGUCUGGUGGCGAGUGGCGAACGGGUGAGUAAUGUAUCGGAACGUGCCCAGUCGUGGGGGAUAACGUAGUGAAAAUUACGCUAAUACCGCAUACGAUCUAUGGAUGAAAGCGGGGGAUCGCAAGACCUCGCGUGAUUGGAGCGGCCGAUAGCAGAUUAGGUAGUUGGUGGGGUAAAGGCCCACCAAGCCAACGAUCUGUAGCUGGUCUGAGAGGACGACGAGCCACACGGGAGCUGAGACACGGUCCAGACUCCUACGGGAGGCAGCAGUGGGGAAUUUUGGACAAUGGGCGAAAGCCUGAUCCAGCCAUUCCGCGUGCAGGAAGAAGGCCCUCGGGUUGUAAACUGCUUUUGUACAGAACGAAAAGGUUUCUACUAAUACUAGGAGCUCAUGACGGUACUGUAAGAAUAAGCACCGGCUAACUACGUGCCAGCCGCCGCCGUAA